GGCCUCAUGGUCCAGAGGUACCAUACUUGCUUUGGGCUGCGGUGAUGCAAGUGACCUGGGUCCGAUUCCCGGUGAGGCCC
This is a non-coding RNA of Mycena galopus ATCC 62051, 80 nucleotides long. The record is from the annotation of a GenBank genome assembly. Lineage: Eukaryota; Fungi; Basidiomycota; Agaricomycetes; Agaricales; Mycenaceae.